Molecule: transfer RNA, 72 nt
Organism: Camelus ferus (Wild Bactrian camel)
Lineage: Eukaryota; Metazoa; Chordata; Mammalia; Artiodactyla; Camelidae
Rfam family: tRNA
About the family: Transfer RNA (tRNA) molecules are approximately 80 nucleotides in length. Their secondary structure includes four short double-helical elements and three loops (D, anti-codon, and T loops). Further hydrogen bonds mediate the characteristic L-shaped molecular structure. tRNAs have two regions of fundamental functional importance: the anti-codon, which is responsible for specific mRNA codon recognition, and the 3' end, to which the tRNAs corresponding amino acid is attached (by aminoacyl-tRNA synthetases). tRNAs cope with the degeneracy of the genetic code in two manners: having more than one tRNA (with a specific anti-codon) for a particular amino acid; and 'wobble' base-pairing, i.e. permitting non-standard base-pairing at the 3rd anti-codon position.
Source: Rfam
GAGGGUAUAGCUCGGUGGUAGAGCACAGGCCUAGAAUGCAUGAGGUCCUGGGUUCAAACCCCAGUACCUCCA